RNAcentral lists this ribosomal RNA (389 nucleotides) under uncultured eukaryote. RNAcentral's name for it is "SSU rRNA". It matches the Rfam family "Eukaryotic small subunit ribosomal RNA", at positions 587 to 972 of the family's 1831-position model. The record is from RNAcentral.
AGCUCCAAUAGCGUAUAUUAAAGUUGUUGCAGUUAAAAAGCUCGUAGUUGGAAGUUGGGCACGGCCGGGCGGUCCACCUUUGGGUGCGUACUGCUCAGCGGCGUUCGCGUCGCGAGGCUGAGCCUUGGCCGCGUCCUCGUGCGCAGCAAUGCGUGCGCGGGACCGGCAGUUACCUUGAAAAAAUUAGAGUGUUCAAAGCAGGCGUUUCCGCCAGAAUAGAUUAGCAUGGAAUAACGGAAUAGGACCUUGGUCUUGUUUUGCUGGUUCUCAGGACCACGGUAAUGAUCAACAGGGACAGUUGGGGGCACUCGUAUUUCAUUGCUAGAGGUGAAAUUCUUGGAUUUAUGAACGACGAACUUUUGCGAAAGCAUCUGCCAAGGAUGUUCUCA